Molecule: ribosomal RNA, 253 nt
Filed under: uncultured bacterium
Lineage: Bacteria
Description: partial 16S ribosomal RNA
Rfam family: Bacterial small subunit ribosomal RNA
Source: RNAcentral
UACGUAGGUGGCAAGCGUUGUCCGGAUUUAUUGGGUUUAAAGGGUGCGUAGGCGGUCCCAUAAGUCAGUGCUGAAAUAUCCCGGCUUAACCGGGAGGGUGGCAUUGAUACUGCGGGACUUGAGUGGAGUUGAAGUGGGCGGAAUUGACGGUGUAGCGGUGAAAUGCUUAGAUAUCGUCAAGAACACCGAUAGUGAAGACAGCUCACUAAGCUCAAACUGACGCUGAGGCACGAAAGUGUGGGGAUCAAACAGG